GCCAGGCUAGCUCAGUUGGUAGAGCAUGCAACUCUUGAUCUCAGGAUUGUAGGUUUGAGCCUCAUGCUGGGUG
Non-coding RNA from Pangasius djambal, 73 nucleotides. NCBI's taxonomy places the organism in Eukaryota, Metazoa, Chordata, Actinopteri, Siluriformes, Pangasiidae. The record is from the annotation of a GenBank genome assembly.